CCUGCCGGCGGGCACCGCUAUCGGAAUGCGAUUAAGGCAUGCGAGUCGAGAGGUGUAAGACCUCGGCAGACGGCUGAGUAACACGCGGAUAAUCUGCCCUGGAGUGGGGGAUAAUCUCGGGAAACUGAGGAUAAUACCCCAUAGGUGUGGUAUGCUGGAAUGCUUCCACGCUAAAAGCCCCGGCGCUCCAGGAUGAGUCUGCGGCCUAUCAGGCUGUAGUGGGUGUAACGGACCCACUAACCUACGACGGGUAGGGGCGUUGAGAGAAGGAGCCCCCAGAUGGAUUCUGAGACACGAAUCCAGGCCCUACGGGGCGCAGCAGCUACGAAAACUGCCCAAUGUGGGAAACCACGAGGCGGGGAUUCCGAGUGCCAAGGCAUUGCUUUGGCUGUUCUUUCGCCUAAAAAGCGAGAGAAGUAAGGGCCGGGUAAGACGGGUGCCAGCCGCCGCGGUAAUACCCGCGGCCCGAGUGGUGCUCAUUAUUAUUGAGCUUAAAGCGUCCGUAGCCGGCCUUGUAAAUCUUUGGGUAAAUCGAGCAGCUCAACUGUUCGAAUUCCGAGGAGACUGCAAGGCUCGGGACCGGGAGAGGUUCGAGGUACUCUCGGGGUAGGGGUAAAAUCCUGUAAUCCUGAGAGGACCACCAGUGGCGAAGGCGUCAAACUAGAACGGAUCCGACGGUGAGGGACGAGGCCCUGGGGCGCAAACGGGAUUAGAUACCCCGGUAGUCCAGGGUGUAAACGCUGCGGGCUUGGUGUCGGAGGUCCUGCGUGGGCGUCCGGUGCCGGAGAGAAAUUGUUAAGCCUGCCGCUUGGGGAGUACGGUCGCAAGACUGAAACUUAAAAGGAAUUGGCGGGGGGAGCACCGCAACGGGGAGGAGCGUGCGGUUCAAUUGGAUUCAACGCCGGA
Molecule: ribosomal RNA, 906 nt
Filed under: uncultured Thermoplasmatales archaeon
Lineage: Archaea; Methanobacteriati; Thermoplasmatota; Thermoplasmata; Thermoplasmatales
Description: bacterial SSU rRNA
Rfam family: Archaeal small subunit ribosomal RNA
Source: RNAcentral